This 1050-nucleotide ribosomal RNA is filed under the name Staphylococcus aureus. RNAcentral's name for it is "bacterial SSU rRNA". It matches the Rfam family "Bacterial small subunit ribosomal RNA", at positions 55 to 1083 of the family's 1533-position model. Lineage: Bacteria; Bacillati; Bacillota; Bacilli; Caryophanales; Staphylococcaceae. The record is from RNAcentral.
AUGCAAGUCGAGCGAACGGACGAGAAGCUUGCUUCUCUGAUGUUAGCGGCGGACGGGUGAGUAACACGUGGAUAACCUACCUAUAAGACUGGGAUAACUUCGGGAAACCGGAGCUAAUACCGGAUAAUAUUUUGAACCGCAGGGUUCAAAAGUGAAAGACGGUCUUGCUGUCACUUAUAGAUGGAUCCGCGCUGCAUUAGCUAGUUGGUAAGGUAACGGCUUACCAGGGCCACGAUGCAUAGCCCACCUGAGAGGGUGAUCGGCCACACUGGAACUGAGACACGGUCCAGACUCCUACGGGAGGCAGCAGUAGGGAAUCUUCCGCAGUGGGCGAAAGCCUGACGGAGCAACGCCGCGUGAGUGAUGAAGGUCUUCGGAUCGUAAAACUCUGUUAUUAGGGAAGAACAUAUGUGUAAGUAACUGUGCACAUCUGGACGGUACCUAAUCAGAACGCCACGGCUAACUACGUGCCAGCAGCCGCGGUAAUACGUAGGUGGCAAGCGUUAUCCGGAAUUAUUGGGCGUAAAGCGCGCGUAGGCGGUUUUUUAAGUCUGAUGUGAAAGCCCACGGCUCAACCGUGGAGGGUCAUUGGAAACUGGAAAACUUGAGUGCAGAAGAGGAAAGUGGAAUUCCAUGUGUAGCGUUGAAAUGCGCAGAGAUAUGGAGGAACACCAGUGGCGAAGGCCACUUUCUGGUCUGUAACUGACGCUUAAUGUGCGAAAGCGUGGGGAUCACACAGGAUUAGAUACCCUGGUAGUCCACGCCAUACACAAUGAGUGCUAAGUGUUAGGGGGUUUCCGCCCCUUAGUGCUGCAGCUAACGCAUUAGGCACUCCGCCGGGGGAGUACGACCGCAGGGUUGAAACUCAGAGGAAUUGACGGGCACCCGCACAAGCGGUGGAGCAUGUGGUUUAAUUCGAAGCAACGCGAAGAACCUUACCAAAUCUUGACCUCCUUUGACAACUCUUGAGAUAGAGCUCUCCCCUUCGGGGGACAAAGUGACAGGUGGGGCAGGGUUGUCGUCACCUCUGGUCCGGGGAUUUUGGGUUAA